AGACGUCUACAUUAGAUACCCCUGUAGUCCAGGGUGUAAACGCUGCAGACUUGGUGUUGGAGGCCCUUUGGGGGCAUUCAGUGCCGGAGAGAAGUUGUUAAGUCUGCUACUUGGGGAGUACGUCCGCAAGGAUGAAACUUAAAGGAAUUGGCGGGGGAGCACCGCAACGGGAGGAGCGUGCGGUUUAAUUGGAUUCAACACCGUAAACUCACCAGGGAAGACUGUUACAUGAAGGCCGAGAUGAAGACUCUGCUAGAUUUUCAG
RNAcentral lists this ribosomal RNA (264 nucleotides) under uncultured archaeon. RNAcentral's name for it is "partial 16S ribosomal RNA". It matches the Rfam family "Archaeal small subunit ribosomal RNA", at positions 714 to 982 of the family's 1478-position model. The record is from RNAcentral.